This is a small RNA of Flavobacterium psychrophilum JIP02/86, 72 nucleotides long. It matches the Rfam family "Flavo-1 RNA". NCBI's taxonomy places the organism in Bacteria, Pseudomonadati, Bacteroidota, Flavobacteriia, Flavobacteriales, Flavobacteriaceae. The record is from Rfam.
GUUUAGCCCCGAUAGUAGUGGAAAUCCUCGCCAUUUUUCUUGGCGAGAUUGCAACGGAUAGCGGGAAAUAGC